Acanthosepion pharaonis is the source of this 113-nucleotide non-coding RNA. NCBI's taxonomy places the organism in Eukaryota, Metazoa, Mollusca, Cephalopoda, Sepiida, Sepiidae. The record is from the annotation of a GenBank genome assembly.
UUACGGCCAUAUCACGUUGAAACACCGGCUUCCGUACGGUCACCGAAGUUAAGCAACGUCGAGCAUGGUCAGUAUCUAGAUGGAUGACCACUUGCGAAUACCAGAUUUUGUAA